UAAGAGGUAGUAUAAUGGAGUACUGAAGAUUUUGAGUCUUUUGGUGUGGGUUCGAGUCCCAUUCUUUUAG
RNAcentral lists this transfer RNA (70 nucleotides) under Corytophanes hernandesii (Hernandez's helmeted basilisk). RNAcentral describes it as "tRNA-Gln". It matches the Rfam family "tRNA". From Rfam's summary of the family: Transfer RNA (tRNA) molecules are approximately 80 nucleotides in length. Their secondary structure includes four short double-helical elements and three loops (D, anti-codon, and T loops). The record is from RNAcentral. Lineage: Eukaryota; Metazoa; Chordata; Lepidosauria; Squamata; Corytophanidae.